RNAcentral lists this transfer RNA (77 nucleotides) under Candidatus Lloydbacteria bacterium CG22_combo_CG10-13_8_21_14_all_47_15. Its description in RNAcentral is "tRNA-Phe". It matches the Rfam family "tRNA". From Rfam's summary of the family: Transfer RNA (tRNA) molecules are approximately 80 nucleotides in length. Their secondary structure includes four short double-helical elements and three loops (D, anti-codon, and T loops). Lineage: Bacteria; Candidatus Lloydiibacteriota. The record is from RNAcentral.
GCCGAGGUAGCUCAGUUGGUUAGAGCACUGGUCUGAAGAACCAGGUGUCGGCGGUUCGAGUCCGCCCCUCGGCACCA